Long non-coding RNA from Callithrix jacchus (white-tufted-ear marmoset), 1118 nucleotides. The record is from Ensembl. Lineage: Eukaryota; Metazoa; Chordata; Mammalia; Primates; Cebidae.
CCAUUUUCCCGGGAACCCGGGGAAGCGGACGAGGAGGCAGCUGCAGCGGCGGCGGCGGUUCCCACAGUUGCUGCCACUGCUCCACGGCUGGCCCCUUCCCUUGCGCUAGCCGCACCACUUGCCUAGCAUCCCUCUCCCCACCUCCAAACCUUCCAACUGCACCGGGACCCUGGGCAGCAGCAGCAGCAGCUGCUACUGCCGCUAGGUCCAUUCAGUAUCCCCCGAUUCCCCUCUCCCCACCUACCAACUGCGAGUGAAGUGCGCGCUGUCAGCUCCAGAGUCCUCCGUCCCUCUGACCUCCGUGGGCCCCCGUCCGGGCAGCACCACUCCCGGCUGCGGCGACAGUUCCUGCGCCCGGUUCCCCACUCGCCCCGAUUUACUGCCACAAUCCACCAAAUAACAAGCUGUUGAGCCGACUCGCUUCUACACGAACUCCUAUUGGCUGCUCAUGACGCCGAAGAGCUUCGGAUAGGCCCUCGCUACCUGCCGUCCCCAUUGGAUGUAGCUCUGAAACUUCAUGGAUUGGUGCGAAAAACAGCAGGUAGGACAUCUUCCACUUAUGAUUGGUUUUUUCUGAAGACCAACGUUAUUGGAGAGUUGGUUAUUGAGUAAGCAAGUUCUGAGAAUUGAUUGGUAGACACGACUCCGGAUGUGCUUGACUGUGCACUGAUUGGUGAAUUGUGGGGUCAGGAAGAGCAGUUCGGCACGAGGAUUGGCGGCGGAGUGUCCCAUGGAAACGGAACCCAGAAUUGCAGCCAGGGGCUUGCACGGGGGCGGGGCAGUGUCUUUCCUAUGCGCCUGCGCCAAACCAGCUUCCCGGCGCCAUUUUGUCUCGGCAGCGGUGGCCGCAGCUCCAUCGCAUUUUAGUUUUCUGGCGAGAAGGAAACGGAGUUUUCAUCUGGCAGAUUCGUUUUUCUGCGGCAGCCAUCCACCGUUCCCUCAAGGACAGCACCUAGUUUUGGACGGAGGAGCCGCAGAGCUGUCAAAAGUUGUGCUGAAGAAAACAACAUCUCAGUGGCAGAUAUCUCAAAGCAUUACUGAGGUCUCUAUGAAUCACAGAAAUAAAAGCAAAUGGAAUCUCAUCAGGUAUCAGCAUCAAGAUGAUUUAUGGUAAUAAG